This 18-nucleotide small nuclear RNA is filed under the name Arabidopsis thaliana (thale cress). RNAcentral describes it as "snRNA_05075". The record is from RNAcentral. Lineage: Eukaryota; Viridiplantae; Streptophyta; Magnoliopsida; Brassicales; Brassicaceae.
UCGCCAUAUCUAUCUCGG